This 78-nucleotide transfer RNA is filed under the name Mobiluncus mulieris 28-1. RNAcentral's name for it is "tRNA-Phe". It matches the Rfam family "tRNA". Rfam says of the family: Transfer RNA (tRNA) molecules are approximately 80 nucleotides in length. Their secondary structure includes four short double-helical elements and three loops (D, anti-codon, and T loops). The record is from RNAcentral. Lineage: Bacteria; Bacillati; Actinomycetota; Actinomycetes; Actinomycetales; Actinomycetaceae.
UGGCUCUGUAGCUCAGUUGGCAGAGCGAACGACUGAAAAUCGUUAGGUCACCGGAUCGACGCCGGUCGGAGCCACCAA